GACUACAAGGGUAUCUAAGCCUGUUUGCUCCCCACGCUUUCGCGCCUCAGCGUCAGUUAAUGUCCAGCAAGUCGCCUUCGCCACUGGUGUUCCUCCUAAUAUCUACGCAUUUCACCGCUACACUAGGAAUUCCACUUGCCUCUCCAUCACUCAAGAAAUACAGUUUCAAAUGCAGUUUGGGGGUUGAGCCCCCAGAUUUCACAUCUGACUUGCAUUCCCGCCUACGCGCCCUUUACACCCAGUAAAUCCGGAUAACGCUUGCUCCCUACGUAUUACCGCGGCUGCUGGCACGUAGUUAGCCGGAGCUUAUUCUGCAGGUACCGUCAUUUGUUUCGUCCCUGCCAAAAGAAGUUUACAACCCGAAAGCCUUCUUCCUUCACGCGGCGUUGCUGGGUCAGGCUUGCGCCCAUUGCCCAAUAUUCCCCACUGCAGCCCCCCGUAGG
RNAcentral lists this ribosomal RNA (443 nucleotides) under uncultured Oscillospiraceae bacterium. RNAcentral describes it as "partial 16S ribosomal RNA". Lineage: Bacteria; Bacillati; Bacillota; Clostridia; Eubacteriales; Oscillospiraceae. The record is from RNAcentral.